This 1512-nucleotide long non-coding RNA is filed under the name Pan troglodytes (chimpanzee). Its description in RNAcentral is "long non-coding RNA NONPTRT009333". Lineage: Eukaryota; Metazoa; Chordata; Mammalia; Primates; Hominidae. The record is from RNAcentral.
CUAGUCACCGCGGUUCCCACCGCAGCGCCCUGGGGCCCACGGCUGGGCCCGCGUGAGCCCACAGCGCCCCCUGGAGGGAGGGUCCGACGCCGCUGCUGAACCCCCGCCUUCCUGAGGUCGGACGCGACCCGGGACCCUCCCGGGCGCCCCAGCCUUCCCCCACAACCCCACAAAGAGGGUUCUGCGCUCCCCUUUGCACACGGAAGGAAACUGAGGCUCAGAAAAGCCAGGCGACUUGACCAAGCCCGACAGCAGAGUGAGAAGAUGGCCCUCUGCAGCCUGGGAGCGGGUCUUCCCCGAACCUGACCGUGCCUGCACCUGAUCUCAGAUCUCCAGCCUCCAGAACCAUGAGAAAUAAACAUCUGAUGUCUCUAUUGCCACUGAGUCUAUGGUCGGCCUGGGCUGAACUGGGCCAAACAGGAACCAGGAGGCAGAUGUCUAUGGCAAGAGUGUACCCAGCCCCAGAGGAGGCAGUCUGCUCAUCCUUCACCAAAACUCCCCUCAGAUCUGCUCAAGGAAGGGGAAAUGAGCAGGAGCAGGGGAUCUUCUGAGAUGAAAUGGGGGGAAGAAAACCCUGCAUCCUGGGUGGGAGCAGCACCCUCCCACUGGAUCCUCAGGAAACCUCUCUUUCCAGGGGGCAGGGGAGAGGUGCAGCCAUCGGUUGUUUAGAGAGAAACCGUGUGUGCUGAAGAAAAGGUAACAGCCCGGCCAACACACCAUUAACUGGCUUCAACUCUCCCCAGGGUUGCAGCCUCCUGGGGGACGCUUCACUGAGGGCAGAGCCCAGCCUGUUGAGCAGCACAGAACAGGUCUUUUAAUAGUUCAUCUGUAGGAAGUGCAUUUGCAAAGUCACCAACCUGCAGCUUCCAUCUGUAGACCAGGAAGGGUGAUUCUCUGGGUGACCACAGCGGAGCAUCCCCUGAGGUACAGACGCCCCCCACCCCCGCAGUGUCCUCACAGCCACCACAGCCUUUGCAGUUUGGCUCAAGCAAGCCCUGCCAGGCCCCACCCCUCACGCUGGCUCUGCUGUGAAGCCAUCCUCCCGUUGGGCAGCAAGCUCAGGCCCUACACAGAGCCAUCUUGAGGCUUGUAAAUGAAGCAGGCGUCCCCAGAGCAGGACUCUGCUGUGGCCACCGGCUUCUCCUUCCACACAGCUUCCCCCGCAACACAGCACGGCCGCUGACCUCUGGCUUCAAGCAAAGGAGAGGUUGUGAGGGGAGCCUUGGGAGGAUGUGGGGACCCCCAGAGAAUCUUCUCCCACCCAAACAGAGCAGUCAAGACCAGGAAAACGAGGCCUCCACUUUGUGAACAACAGAGCUGCCCAUGUGGUCACGCGGCACCUUCGUCCUGAGACACCUGCCCCACACUGGGAAGCAGGGCUCGGUUGACGGUCCACAGCAUGAUAGUUCAUUGCACCGCUGGAGGGAAUGGGCCAGGGCCUCUCGUUGGUCUCCUGAAGGGAAAUGGGGGUUGGGCCCAGAGUCAAGCUGCAGUCAGGGAUGAGGCCUGCAC